AAACAGGUUAAUAUUCCUGUACUUGGUGUUACUGCGAAGGGGGACGGAGAAGGCUAUGUUAGCCGGGCGACGGUUGUCCCGGUUUAAGCAUGUAGGCUGAUUGUCCAGGCAAAUCCGGAUAAUCAAGGCUGAGGUGUGAUGACGAGGCACUACGGUGCUGAAGUAACAAAUGCCCUGCUUCCAGGAAAAGCCUCUAAGCAUCAGGUAACAUUAAAUCGUACCCCAAACCGACACAGGUGGUCAGGUAGAGAAUACCAAGCGCUUGAGAGAACUCGGGUGAAGGAACUAGGCAAAAUGGUGCCGUAACUUCGGGAGAAGGCACGCUGGUGUGUAGGUGAAGCCCCUGCGGGUGGAGCUGAGACCAGUCGAAGAUACCAGCUGGCUGCAACUGUUUAUUAAAAAACACAGCACUGUGCAAACACGAAAGUGGACGUAUACGGUGUGACGCCUGCCCGGUGCCGGAAGGUUAAUUGAUGGGGUUAUCCGUAAGGAGAAGCU
Molecule: ribosomal RNA, 498 nt
Filed under: Klebsiella pneumoniae
Lineage: Bacteria; Pseudomonadati; Pseudomonadota; Gammaproteobacteria; Enterobacterales; Enterobacteriaceae
Description: bacterial LSU rRNA
Rfam family: Bacterial large subunit ribosomal RNA
Source: RNAcentral